UAGGGAAUCUUCCACAAUGGGCGAAAGCCUGAUGGAGCAACGCCGCGUGUGUGAUGAAGGCUUUCGGGUCGUAAAGCACUGUUGUAUGGGAAGAACAGCUAGAACAGGAAAUGAUUUUAGUUUGACGGUACCAUACCAGAAAGGGACGGCUAAAUACGUGCCAG
Molecule: ribosomal RNA, 164 nt
Filed under: uncultured bacterium
Lineage: Bacteria
Description: partial 16S ribosomal RNA
Rfam family: Bacterial small subunit ribosomal RNA
Source: RNAcentral